This 442-nucleotide ribosomal RNA is filed under the name uncultured bacterium. Its description in RNAcentral is "partial 16S ribosomal RNA". It matches the Rfam family "Bacterial small subunit ribosomal RNA", at positions 338 to 795 of the family's 1533-position model. The record is from RNAcentral.
CCUACGGGACGCAGCAGUGGGGAAUAUUGGGCAAUGGGCGCAAGCCUGACCCAGCAACGCCGCGUGAAGGAAGAAGGCUUUCGGGUUGUACACUUCUCUUAAGGGGGAAGAGCAGAAGACGGUACCCCUUGAAUAAGCCACGGCUAACUACGUGCCAGCAGCCGCGGUAAUACGUAGGUGGCAAGCGUUGUCCGGAUUUACUGGGUGUAAAGGGCGUGCAGCCGGAGAGACAAGUCAGAUGUGAAAUCCACGGGCUCAACCCGUGAACUGCAUUUGAAACUGUUUCCCUUGAGUGUCGGAGAGGUAAUCGGAAUUCCUUGUGUAGCGGUGAAAUGCGUAGAUAUAAGGAAGAACACCAGUGGCGAAGGCGGAUUACUGGACGAUAACUGACGGUGAGGCGCGAAAGCGUGGGGAGCAAACAGGAUUAGAUACCCUUGUAGUC